UUGAUCUGCGUUCCAUUCGAAGCCUUAGAGAAACUCGGCCUAUCAAUAACCACAUUAGUCGCAUUCUUGUUGCAGGUUUCAAAUUUUCAAAUAUUGAAAAUUGUUGAUCCUAAGGUUUAUAAACCCAAAAUUUAACUGGAAACAAGAGUCUGAUCAGUUGCCAGUUGCCACCAAGUGUGUAUGGUUGUAUGAAGCACAAUAGCACAUGUGUGGUGAUGUUUGUGAUCCCUUUGCUUGCUUCGACACCAGUAAAUGAUGAGUUGAAUCUGAUAUGCAAAACAAAUAUAAUGAUGAUAAUGAUUAUCAAAAAAAAUAAAAUAAUGAUGAUGCUAUGAAAUCAACAAAAGAACAAAUCAUUAUGCCAAGGAUCAUUAUGCCACAUAUUCUGAAAGCUUUAAAAACCGUUAGACGCUGAUCAAUCGUUUGAAAAUUCUGCUUCAUAGUCGUAGACGACAAUCAGUUAUAAUCUAUCCUAUAUUAAAAGGGACUAAUAAAGCUCUCUUAAAGUGUCUACGUCCUAAAAUAAAUUCAACCAAUCAUGUUUUUUUUUUAAACACGUCAGCUGAGCGUAAAUUUGGGCAAGGUAAUUUAUAUGUAAUUAAAUUUGGACUUACCCAUCACGUUUGGGCUUGCUUUUUUUGCCCAAAUCGACAAAUGAAAACUGAAGUUGACGCCACAUGAACUCAUCAUCUUCCUCUCCACCUCUUCGUUUUCUCCGAUAUGAAACCUGAAGAAUUGAAAACAUUUGGAUUUAAAAGAAAAGAUUUGACAGUCUAAUCUCAAUCGCAUAAAGUAAAUCAAACCAAACUUCGCACAUCUUUCUCUCCGUUCGCCGUCACACAUCUUUCUCUCCGUUCGCCGUCGUCGCUCAUCUGAGAUCUCUCUCUUUACUCACCAAAGAUGCAUUCGAGCCAUCUCCUUCUCGAGGAGCCAAUCAGGAUGGCUUCAAUCCUCAAGCCAUCCAAAUCCGUAAGCGAUCCAUUGAUCCAUAUUCGUAAGAGUUAUCUCUAAUCUCUCUCUCUCUCUCUCUCUCUCUCUCUCUUUCUCUCUCUCUUUUGAUGUCAUCAGAGUUUCUUUCCGGAAGCUUUGGCAACAAAAUCCAACUGAAAGUCCCAUGUCUCCACGUUUUUCUCGAUAAGGUUAAAGUGCCGUAGCGAUUGCUGUAAGGUGUGAAGAUAAAUGUCUGUCGAAUAUGAUCUCUGAAUGAAAACAUGAAGAAGUGUCAGUAUGCCGUAAGUGGUGAGUUUUCCCUAGAAGGAACAUUAUCUUCCCUACCCUCGCAUCUCUAAAAAGCCAUCAGGAUGAAUCACUACUCUGCAUAUACUGAGGAGUCUGGACAAUUAUAUGGGACUGCUUUGGCGUAGGACCUGCUCUAGCUGAAGGGUAGGGAGAUUGAAUAUGACUUCCUGGAACUGAAUAGCCCUGUACCGUUGUAUAACUGUGACCAACAGGGAUGUUUUGAUUCAGUUGCCCGUAUUGGUAGCCUGGUGAGUUAACUGCCUCAGGUACUCCAUAAACCUGAAGGUGCUUACAGUGACUCAAGAGGCCUUCUGGAAGCUAGGAAAGAGGUUGCUGAGUUCAUUGAAUGACUUGAUGGGUAUCCCAGUGAUCCAAAACUCAUAUUCUCCACUGAUGGAGCUAGCUAAGGUGUGAAACAAAUCUUAAACUGUGCUAUACGCAGUGAGGGAGACAUGCAAUAUGAAGAAGAGCAGGAGAGUGCAAGUGCCACCAAGAAGCUUCACCAGAAAAGGCAAUUCAUCACAAUUUAAGUAGAAAAAAUAUGAAGUAUGAUCAGAAGAAAUAAGGUGAUGAUGUGAUGAAUGCAUGUCUUAUAUGCCCUCAAGAGAUGGAUGCAGCAGAUCUAAGCUUCUUACCAUGUCCUUGCAGAUUUUGUCUAUAUCUCUUCUCCUCUAUGCAGAUCAAUCAAAACGAUGGACGUAGCCCACGACUCUGAGCUUCCCCAAACAAGUAUGAGAAGACAAGUAGUAAAAGUGCUUUAUGUUUUAGUUAUUUCCUUAGUAUCUCAGUUGCACAUAGCAUGUUGUUUGUCAAUAGAGUUUGUGUCAGUGACGUUGUUGCAUCUUUUGAAACUUUAAAGCUUAAUAAAAGUGAAAGAUCGUUGAUAUGUUAUCGAUGAAGUCGAAUGAAUGUUGCUACCAUUUAUCUUUUUCUUUAAAAUCAAAUCAAAUGGGUUGAUUGUCCACUGCGUUUAUUAAAACGUUUUCCCGAUACUAAAGGAGUUGUGAAUGUCUUAAUAUGCUAAACAAAUCUUCAGAAGUAGUUUGAUUUUGCAUAAUAAGAAACUGUAGUAGCAGGUUGGAUCGAGGAAAGGAUUCAAAGAGAAAGAAUAAUAAUAAAAAGAUUGAGAUCCGAGAAAAAGACCAAAAGGUUUGAACAAUACACAUAAUCAAUCCCCUGGACAAAAAAGAUUGUUCAAAACAAAUGUUUUCUACUACUAUUACUUUUAAAUAAUCUCCACACGAAGGAGAAUAUUUUUUGUAUUACAGAAGGGAAUUUGUAAAUUUGAAAACGUUAUUGGGUCCACGUGUUUUUUUAAUAUUCAAAAUCAUAAAAUUUCAAGUUUUCGUUAAGAUUAUGAGACUUUCAAUUAUACACAUAAAACUGUAUGUUUUAGCGGAAAUUUAUUUUUUCAAAGAUACAUUUUUGUAUUUUCAAUACAUUUUAUUAACUAAUAAUGAUAAAUUCUAAAUUUCAAAUACUAAUUGCAUUUCUUGACUUCUUACCGGUUUAGAAUUAUAAGAAAUAUAAAUCACAAAAUAUAUAUUUAUAACUAAGACUUAAAUAAAUAUAUAUUCACAAAAAUAAGAUUUAAUAUGUGUAAAAAUUGUAAAACAUAUAUGAUUUGCAACAGAGGGAGUAGUAUAUUAGAGUUUUAGAUUAGUAGUUGGUGUAAAAUCAAUUAUACACACUUGACUCUCAUUUUAAUAUAUAUGUAACUAUUGUGAAUGUACGAAAAAUUUAAUUAUUGUGAAUGUAAGAAAAUUUAGCAUUUAUGGUAAAUGAAGUUUUAAGCAAUUAUAUUUUAAUUGAGUAUAAAAGUACAUAUUAAAAUUUUUUUUGAUAUAAUCUCUUAUGAAAUUCAAAAAUUACUACUAUUUUCAUUUUAAUUUAAUUGUUGUUGUAGAGUAAAUUGUUUGUUUCAAGAUAAAUGUUGUUUUAGAAUUUAAAUACAUAAUUGAUUAACUUUAUAUGUUAUAUGAUUUUUGUAUUCUUCAGUCUAUUUUUUACUGAUUGAAAUGUGAUUAAGUGUAUAACUAAUGAUAUUUUAUUUUAGUAAUAUACAAAAUUAAUUUUUUUUUUACAUCUGUAUGCACAAAUCGAAAAUGACAAUUAAAAUGAAACAUAAUUAGUAUUAUAAAAACAUUACAUUCACCUUAAACAUUGUUAGUCCUUUUAGGUGUGUGAUCAUGGAAGAAUAACACUCAUUGCUGGCCAAUUGGUUAAUGCAUCAAAUGUCUAAAAAAUUAUAUUAAUAGAAAACUACAAAAAAAUGUCUAAAUUGUUUUAAAAUAAUAUGCAAACAAUAUUUGUUUUAGAAUUAAUAUAGUACACUAUUAUAUGUUAGAAACAGACUUUUAAAUCCUGAUAUAUUAGAAAUUGCUAAAUUUGUUUUAUUGAAAUUCAAUAUUAUAUUAUCACACAUUUUAAAAAUGAUCUCAGUUCUAUUUCCUAAGAUAAGUAUAUAAUAGUCAAUUGGAAAAUGUUAAUGUAAACCUAGAACAAAAUUAUUAACUGUGUAACUUGAUCAGAAUUGUUUUUGCCAUGCAUUGACUUAAAGUGAUAUUUUAGUCAUUUUCAAGUAAAUGAAUCAAAGAUACACAACUAUAAUAUGAAAAAAUUAAUACGCAAUGUCAAUUCCUCAUAUUUAUCAUAUUAAUUGUUGUCUUCCGCACUAUUGGUUUCAAAUAAUAAUAACCUAUUAUAUAACCAAAUAAAUAAAUUUGAUACGGCUUAAGGAAAUUUUUUCAUAUAUACAAUAAAUAAAACAAAACAACAGUAAAAUAUUAAUUUGAAAUAAAACAAAAAAUGACUACUCUAAAUUUAUAAUGAAAAAGUACAAAAAUUGUAAAAAAUAGAAAUU
This is a long non-coding RNA of Brassica napus (rape), 4102 nucleotides long. RefSeq lists it as uncharacterized. Lineage: Eukaryota; Viridiplantae; Streptophyta; Magnoliopsida; Brassicales; Brassicaceae. The transcript has 6 exons. The record is from RefSeq and is a predicted model, not a curated record.